GCGGCAAUAACAGGUCUGUGAUGCCCUCAGAUGUUCUAGGCUGCACACGUGCUACAUUGAUCAGCACAAUGCGAUACAUUUCGAAAGGAAACAUCGGUUUUAAGGUAACGUCGAUUGCCUACCGAUAGCACCUGGUCCCCAGUGGACUGGGCAAUCUCUUCUAAAUGCUGGUAAGGUACCCACACUCGAGCUAUUUAAUCACACGCGGGAGGCACACACGGUUCAAAUCUCAUUUGCGACUGUUGCCGCCAUGACGUAUGCAACUUGUCAAUUCUUCGUGGGGAUCGUCGAUUGCAAC
RNAcentral lists this ribosomal RNA (298 nucleotides) under Orbulina universa. RNAcentral's name for it is "partial 18S ribosomal RNA". The record is from RNAcentral. Lineage: Eukaryota; Foraminifera; Rotaliida; Globigerinidae.